Molecule: transfer RNA, 72 nt
Filed under: Leuresthes tenuis (California grunion)
Lineage: Eukaryota; Metazoa; Chordata; Actinopteri; Atheriniformes; Atherinopsidae
Description: tRNA-Asp
Rfam family: tRNA
About the family: Transfer RNA (tRNA) molecules are approximately 80 nucleotides in length. Their secondary structure includes four short double-helical elements and three loops (D, anti-codon, and T loops).
Source: RNAcentral
AGGACACUAGUAAAAUUACCAUUACACUGCCUUGUCAAGGCAGAAUUGUGGGUUAGACCCCUGCGUGUCCUG